Ornithodoros turicata is the source of this 535-nucleotide long non-coding RNA. RefSeq lists it as uncharacterized. The record is from RefSeq and is a predicted model, not a curated record. Lineage: Eukaryota; Metazoa; Arthropoda; Arachnida; Ixodida; Argasidae. The transcript has 3 exons.
CAUAAGAACGAAGCCGAAAAUGCUAAACAGGUACAAUAUUGUACUGUUACAAUAAGAAAAAGUAAUGAAAGCAAAGACGGUCUGCAAUAUGUCCGUAAUCGAAACUGCGAAGUGGAAUCGGUUAAUGUGCGCAUGUUUUCAAUAGGAAACAGCAGAAACGCAGGUAAACAAGUCGCAGACGACAGUGCGUCGACAUCAUCGGUACAUCUAUGUAGAGUUGCGAUCUUGAAAGUCCAACACACAGGAAGAACAACUAGUUUUCACUGGCCUCCGAACCAACUGGACCGCAUGGUCGUUGCCAUUUUCUCGUAGAAUGAAGAGGAAGAACUGAACACCGGUGUGGAUCUGCUCAUGGUUAGCGACGGAGUUUCCUUUGGCAUGUCAUACUCUGCAGGAAGCUGGAAGAAAAAAGCCAAGAGGCACAACAGGGACAAGUUACGAGACGAGGACCAGUGCAUGCUCUCAACUGAACAGUUUAAACGCCGUUAAAUUGUAUUAAGACAUAGACAAAAUAAAUAAAUACGCUAGACUCGCA